Molecule: ribosomal RNA, 305 nt
Filed under: uncultured bacterium
Lineage: Bacteria
Description: bacterial SSU rRNA
Rfam family: Bacterial small subunit ribosomal RNA
Source: RNAcentral
UUCCUACGGGGGGCAGCAGUAGGGAAUUUUCGUCAAUGGGCGCAAGCCUGAACGAGCGAUGCCGCGUGAGUGAAGAAGGCCUUCGGGUCGUAAACCUCUGUCAGCAGGGAAGAACGGUCACUGUGCUAAUCAGCAGUGAAUUGACGGUACCUGCAAAGGAAGCACCGGCUAACUCCGUGCCAGCAGCCGCGGUAAUACGGAGGGUGCGAGCGUUAAUCGGAAUUACUGGGCGUAAAGCGCUCGUAGGCGGUAUGUCGAGUCAAGGGUGAAAUCCCCGCGCUCAACGUGGGAACUGCCUUUGAAAC